GCAAUCAGUUGUAUAGCUGGUUAAACUAUGCAUUUAGAUGUAUGUUAGCUGCUUCAAAAUAAAGGGGACACGGUUUUUGAUACAGGCAUACAUAAUCGUACAUUCUGUCCAAAAGUGGAGCCACAGUUCAAAAUAGGGUAAAGCUGAGUUAACAGCUCCGACAGGCAGUGGCAGUCGCGGAUGAUCUAUCUAAAUCCGGUGAAUGACGGCUUCUCAAAAUAAAACAGACAUUGCUGAUGGCUCGACGACGCACUCCACAACGAGCUUGGCAAGGAAGAGGUUGUCAACAAGGAGGCGCUCCCUAAGCCCUGAAACUGCAGUAAACCAGUGGAGCAUCGACGAGCAGGCCUCCAUCUUAAGUAUCUGAAAAAAACACAAGCGGAAGCCAAAUGAGUCCACACUAUUUGAUGGUUUACAAGUGGUAGCAAAAACCAAAAGAAAAAUUGGCCCACAACUUAACUAUACAUCUACAAAGAAGCAUUUCAUCCGCAUCUGAAACUUAAGAAAGAUCUACUAACCAACGACCAAUAGUUUCUGAUCCUUUCAUUAACAAAAAUAAUAGGCGUUUUUAGACAAUAUAUAAGUGCAGCUUGCUGCUAAGUAAUCUGCAUCUUUUCUAAGAUGCACACUCCAACAUGUUGGACUAUACUUAAUGGUUACCGAGAUAGAACAAUGCAGGCUGGUCAUAAACAAACAAAAGAUAGGUAACUAAGAAGAUGCCAAGAUCAUGAGCUAGUUGUGUGUACAUAUGAUAGAGAGAGAUGGUACAUUCAUGAGCUAGCUGAGCGACCUUUGCCUCUCCUAAGGAGGACGGAGCCGAGCUUCUGUACUGCCCGCGCACACUAAUCCAUCUAGGUAAUACACAAAGCCAGGUUUGGGAGCGGCAUGCCUUGCGUCCUUCAGUGGUGCACCUCUUUAGUGUUUAUACGUGUGCACGUAUCUUGCUUAUGAACAUUCAUGUAUAGGGAACAUAAACAAGAGCCAUACAUUGGUAAAUUUAAACCUUCUGCUCCAUAGAGAUACAAAGGAAGAUAAAAAGAGCUCCCUACACGAGGUUGGUGGCAGCGGAUCUCGACUGGAGGAGGUGUUGGGCGACAAGCGACCUUGUCGUGCUCCGAUCUAGGUAGAGUGGUCGCCAGGCACGCCAGCCGACAUUUCUUCGUCCGCCGAACGUAACAUAACAAAUGACAAUAAACUGAAACUAAGGAGCUGUUCGGGAUCUCUCCGCUCUGCAACUCCGCUGCGGAGCGGAGCGGCAUGCAGUUAUAUUUCGGUGAGCUGCUAACAGGGUGCUCCGUGAGCUCCGCUCCAUAGCGAAGGAGCAGAGGGUUGCCGAACACAGCUUGAAACAUAGAAUUGUAACUAAGUAGCUUAAAUAGAGUGAACAACAGAUGGGAAAUCAAAUGCAUGAAAUGAUUGCACGCGGAGAGAAUUGGUUGAGUUAAAUAUGUCAUUAGUAUAUUAGUUGGUUGUCAAUCUUCUGAGGGGAAAGAUGUUGGCAGAGGUUUGUCUUGCUUUCAUUCGUCAUCAAGAUUUUUCUCAAGGAAAAUUUUGAGACCCCCCACAUUCUAGUUGUUUAAGCUGAACUACUUGCACUUGUUUUGUAUUUAACUGCCUAAUGCUAUCUCUACUGCAGCAACUUCUCUUAAAGUUGACUCUCAACAUAAAUUACAUGUUGUAAUGCUAGCCACUACAUCGCUAAACAAAGUACGCUUGUGCAGGGUUUAAUUUUUGCAUGUACCUUGUAGUUACGAAGGAAGUAGCUGAAG
RNAcentral lists this long non-coding RNA (1769 nucleotides) under Triticum aestivum (bread wheat). Its description in RNAcentral is "long non-coding RNA (TAES_LNC002468)". Lineage: Eukaryota; Viridiplantae; Streptophyta; Magnoliopsida; Poales; Poaceae. The record is from RNAcentral.